This 99-nucleotide ribosomal RNA is filed under the name Tor khudree (Deccan mahseer). Lineage: Eukaryota; Metazoa; Chordata; Actinopteri; Cypriniformes; Cyprinidae. The record is from RNAcentral. RNAcentral also lists the same sequence under 7 other names.
UACGCCCGAUCUCGUCCGAUCUCGGAAGCUAAGCAGGGUCGGGCCUGGUUAGUACUUGGAUGGGAGACCGCCUGGGAAUACCAGGUGCUGUAAGCUUUU